RNAcentral lists this ribosomal RNA (496 nucleotides) under uncultured bacterium. RNAcentral's name for it is "partial 16S ribosomal RNA". It matches the Rfam family "Bacterial small subunit ribosomal RNA", at positions 28 to 506 of the family's 1533-position model. The record is from RNAcentral.
GACGAACGCUGGCGGCGUGCCUAAUACAUGCAAGUUGAGCGCUGAAGGUUGGUACUUGUACCGACUGGAUGAGCAGCGAACGGGUGAGUAACGCGUGGGGAAUCUGCCUUUGAGCGGGGGACAACAUUUGGAAACGAAUGCUAAUACCGCAUAAAAACUUUAAACACAAGUUUUAAGUUUGAAAGAUGCAAUUGCAUCACUCAAAGAUGAUCCCGCGUUGUAUUAGCUAGUUGGUGAGGUAAAGGCUCACCAAGGCGAUGAUACAUAGCCGACCUGAGAGGGUGAACGCCCACAUUGGGACUGAGAACCGGCCCAAACUCCUACGGGAGGCAAAGGUAGGGAAUUUUCGGAAAUGGGAGAAAGUCUGACCGAGCAACGCCGGGUGAGUGAAGAAGGUUUUCGGAACGUAAAACUGUUUUGGAAGGGAAAAACGUGGGUGGGAGGGAAAAGCCAAACAGGUAAAGGAAACCACCCAGAAAGGAAGGGCAAAAUACGG